Molecule: long non-coding RNA, 200 nt
Filed under: Malus domestica (apple)
Lineage: Eukaryota; Viridiplantae; Streptophyta; Magnoliopsida; Rosales; Rosaceae
Description: long non-coding RNA (MDOM_LNC013727)
Source: RNAcentral
UCCAGCUAGCUUUCCCUUGAAGAGCCUUGUCUUUUUCAUAAUAAUAUCACAUCCCAAGCUCGGAGAAAUGAUACACUAUUUAAUUUAUUUAAUCUUAUGGUUCCAUCUAACUUUCAAGUUAGACUGCCUACAUACCCUGCAAAGGGAUCAAGGCAAUCGUAGUGCAUUCUUAAUGCAAGAAAUUCAACAUAUACUACGCA